GGGCGUGUAGCUCAGCUAGGUAGAGCGUCGGGCUUUUAACCCGCAGGCCGUGGGUUCGAAUCCCUCCACGCUCA
This 74-nucleotide transfer RNA is filed under the name Candidatus Heimdallarchaeota archaeon. Its description in RNAcentral is "tRNA-Lys". It matches the Rfam family "tRNA". From Rfam's summary of the family: Transfer RNA (tRNA) molecules are approximately 80 nucleotides in length. Their secondary structure includes four short double-helical elements and three loops (D, anti-codon, and T loops). Lineage: Archaea; Promethearchaeati; Candidatus Heimdallarchaeota. The record is from RNAcentral.